UGUCUACUGUAAUACUCGAUAACUGGAACUCGAUCCUUGAUCCUUAACUAUCAACUUAGGGAGCCUCUGUAUUGAUAGUGUGUGCAUACUCGCUAGACGAGGAGCCUAAUCUUUCAAUCGUUGCACCCGCCCUUGAACCUCAGGUUCAGGGACGUUGAUCCAGCCGGUACUAAUGGUAGACAC
Molecule: non-coding RNA, 183 nt
Filed under: Thiotrichales bacterium
Lineage: Bacteria; Pseudomonadati; Pseudomonadota; Gammaproteobacteria; Thiotrichales
Description: 6S RNA
Rfam family: 6S / SsrS RNA
About the family: E. coli 6S RNA was the first non coding RNA to be sequenced, but its function was unknown until recently. It consists of 184 nucleotides that fold into an extended hairpin structure with a large single-stranded internal bulge.
Source: RNAcentral